GAUUGCUUGCUAUCUUUGGGAAGGGGUGGUGAAAAAAUUGGAACACAAGGCUUUGCAGAGCUCCCUAGGAAAAUUGGAAGAGAAGUCUGAGAGCAAGUGUAGUGAGCAGAAGGUUUAUCCAUCAGAGGCACAGAUGAGGAAGAGGAGAGAGGAGGAUUUUCCGGAAAACUUGGACUGAGAUCUAUCCAGGAUCCAGAAAUCCUGAUUGUGGAAUAGCCGCUAUUAAAGAAGGGGAAGAUGGAUCCUGUGACUUGUGGAUCAGCCAUCCCAUUCAUGGACCAUUCAAGAUUCUAGAACCACAUUGGUUUGUUUUCUUCUAGGUUUUGGUCCAUUGCAGCUGUAUCACCCAGCUUCAGAGACCCCCGAAUGCUUCAAUCAGCUCCUGACUUCUCCCACCCCCAAGCAAACCUCUCAAAAUUGAGAUCCUGUACAUUGACUCUGCUCUACACUCAUUCUCAGCAGGAAGUAGUUUCAGAAGAUGAGACAUCAACCCAUACAUACCUGAAAGGAUUUGGGGCCCCAUUUGAUUGGGGAACUGGAACUGUUUGGUGAAUGGAUCUCAAACUACUCAGUGGCCGAGUGGGUUCCCAGUGCCUUGAGAUCUAAGAGUAAAUACUUUAGGUAAUGUGAUAAAGAUUGCUGUUAAGGGUGGGGAGAAGAAGAGAGAUUGCUUCUUGGACAAAAAAGGUUUGGGAAAGUGGAGAGAUGUGUGACCAACAGCACAAGCUUAAAGAACCAAAAGAAGAACUUCUCUGGUCACAUUUUGCUUAAAAUUGGGCAUAUUCCAUACCUGAUAAGGGAGAAAAGAAAACUGAAAAGAAUUCUGAGCAAUGGGAUCCUGAAGGGAGAAGUAGGACUAAGUCCCAUAAAAAGUCUUGACUUGGCCUCUGUAGGUAUAUACACCCCUUUUUUCAAGAAUGUAAAAUAAAAUCUUUCCAGCAUUAAUUGAUCAGUGAUUCAAUGGAGUUCUUGGCAAGAUUUUCUUACAGAUCUGAUCGUCAAGACAGUGAUAUGGAUGAGGAGAAUUAGAAAUAACUUAUCGUGCUAUUUGUAGACUGUUAUUCAUAAAAAAAAGUAUUAAUAAUGGACAUUAAACACACUA
Molecule: long non-coding RNA, 1102 nt
Organism: Sarcophilus harrisii (Tasmanian devil)
Lineage: Eukaryota; Metazoa; Chordata; Mammalia; Dasyuromorphia; Dasyuridae
Exons: 5
Source: RefSeq, a predicted model, not a curated record